AUCCAGGGAUGUGAAUCGAACCCACAAUGUUCCGCUUACCGGGCAGAUGCCAUGUCCACUAGGCUACCCUGGA
RNAcentral lists this transfer RNA (73 nucleotides) under Cordylochernes scorpioides. RNAcentral describes it as "tRNA-Thr". Lineage: Eukaryota; Metazoa; Arthropoda; Arachnida; Pseudoscorpiones; Chernetidae. The record is from RNAcentral.